UAGGUACAGAUCUCUGGUUUGAUGGACAGU
This 30-nucleotide non-coding RNA is filed under the name Mus musculus (house mouse). Lineage: Eukaryota; Metazoa; Chordata; Mammalia; Rodentia; Muridae. The record is from RNAcentral.